RNAcentral lists this transfer RNA (76 nucleotides) under Acholeplasmataceae bacterium. Its description in RNAcentral is "tRNA-Gly". It matches the Rfam family "tRNA". From Rfam's summary of the family: Transfer RNA (tRNA) molecules are approximately 80 nucleotides in length. Their secondary structure includes four short double-helical elements and three loops (D, anti-codon, and T loops). The record is from RNAcentral. Lineage: Bacteria; Bacillati; Mycoplasmatota; Mollicutes; Acholeplasmatales; Acholeplasmataceae.
GCAGUAGUAGUUUAAUGGUAAAACAUCUGCUUCCCAAGCAGAAAUUGGGGGGGUUCGAUUCCCCUCUAUUGCUCCA